AUGGGAGAUGCAGUUUCUCUGUGCUCUCACAAAGUGAUGGAGGACAUUGAAACAAUGGGCAUGGAAGAUGGAAGGCAGCAUUAUGAUGAUAUCAAACUUUCUACUGCUGGUGAUGCUGGGACUCUUUGCUCAGGAAUCAAUGGCAGAUAUAGUCCUGACUCAGUCUUCGUCAACUCUGUUCAGCUGGGAGACCCUGUUUCUAUCAGCUGUACAGCCAGUCAGAGCGUUUUCAGCAACUACCUCCACUGGUACCUGCAGAAACCUGGUCAGGCUCCUAAACUUCUGAUUUAUGAUGCGACAACUCGCCAGUCUGGGAUUCCUGAUCGUUUCAGUGGGAGUGGAUCUGGGACUCAGUUUACACUGAAAAUCACUGGAGUCCAUGCUGAAGAUGCAGGAGAUUAUUACUGUCAGCAGGGAUAUAGCUCGCUGACACAGUGAUACAGAGCCGUACAAAAACCUCCCUCAGUCAGACUGCACAGAGACUGCACUGCUGCAGCUGGAACCUACUGCAGGUGCUGAGGGGGGAGUCACUGACCCGGGACACUGAGGGGCUCAGCGCUAAAACACCAAACUUCUGUAAUACACUUUUUUGUUUGUUAUUUGACAAGAGAGUACAAACCUUCCAUGUGUUCUCAGCAAGCUAGUAACACUACAAGUUGACAUUAAAAUGUAUUUAUCUAGUCGUUUUACAUAUAAAAUAAUAUGAGAAAGUUUUGAAUUAACAGCAACAUAAGGAAGAUAACUUGAAUUUUUCUUAAAGACCUUAAAUUGCAUAAAGCAUUGUUUCUCACAAAUGACAAACAUUUCUCAAAAUAAAACAAAAGUAUUUUAUUAAAAGCAAUUAUCUCAACAAAUAAACAAUUCUGGCAACAUU
This is a non-coding RNA of Anguilla anguilla (European eel), 874 nucleotides long. The record is from the annotation of a RefSeq genome assembly. Lineage: Eukaryota; Metazoa; Chordata; Actinopteri; Anguilliformes; Anguillidae.